Molecule: long non-coding RNA, 708 nt
Filed under: Heterocephalus glaber (naked mole-rat)
Lineage: Eukaryota; Metazoa; Chordata; Mammalia; Rodentia; Bathyergidae
Description: lncRNA (ENSHGLG00000025751.2)
Source: RNAcentral
GGAAGACUUGGAAUUUUGCCUUUGUCUUAGCUCCUCAAAAGAGAAAUAGGUAAGCCUUCGGAAGAAUUAACGUGCCCGGUGCCUUUUGACGCGCUCCCGCUGUUUAGAAACCUCUCUACCUGCACGUUCUGUAAAUUUCAUUCUAACACCACUUUGUGGUGGCCUAGACCAGGAAUCCCGGCGCUUCCGAGGCUGAGACAGCAGGAUCUCCGUGAGCCGGAGGCUGGGGUUGGGCUGCACGGAUCUGUGAUUCCAGUGCUGCCCUUGGUGAUUCACGGAGAAGGUUAUUUUACCCUGGGGACAGAGUGCCACACAAAGACUUUCCUGCUGCUGAAUGUGUGAACAAACACCAUCUCAGAGAAUCAAUAGAAGAAAUCUAAGAAGAAAUGCCUUGAUUGGCAAAGACUUCUGGUGGCCUAUACAGAAUCAUAAAAUGAAUGAAGCACCUGAUGGUCAAGGAAGAGAAAAGAAGAUGAAAGGAUGAAUGCGUAUUUGUUUCAUAAUCACUAACAGGUGUUAAUAAAACGUAUUGUACAAUGCUCAAUUGUCAUGACAUUGAAAGGGAUCAGGUUCACCUGUUCAUUGUGAUAUAUUAUGUAGUUUCACUUCUUAAAAUGCAACAGCUCUGUUGAAUUGUUCUUAUCAUUAACACUUGAAGUAAUAAAAUAGGCUUUAUUAAUGUUUCAUUUGAUUUAUUUUUAUUAUAGU